AAUACUGUUGACAUUGUAGGACUGAUUGGUUGGGAGGAGUUGUUUCAUCAUUAGCUAAGGAAGAAUGGAAAGAAGGAAGAACAGUGCACACUGCUGAAGUUUCUGGGGAGGUCUGUUUCAUACAGCAGGAGGCACUAAGGGGACCAGAAGUCAUUUGGAUCUGAAGCAGGAGCAGAAGGAAAACUAGAAUUCAUCAGGAGGACUCCUCAGCCUUUUGUGUGAACAAGCUACAGGGUCUGACGUGGCUAAUGGCUGAUCGAGUGCUUGUGAUCGGCAGUGGAGGGAGAGAGCAUGCAUUGGCCUGGAAGCUGGCCCAGUCCCCACAUGUAAAACAAGUGUUUGUUGCUCCUGGAAAUGCAGGGACAGCCAACAGUGGAAAAAUUUCAAAUUCAGCUGUUUUAGUGAGCAAUCACACUAUUGUUACCCAGUUCUGCAAAGAUCAUAACAUUGGACUUGUAGUAGUUGGAC
Phasianus colchicus (ring-necked pheasant) is the source of this 468-nucleotide non-coding RNA. Lineage: Eukaryota; Metazoa; Chordata; Aves; Galliformes; Phasianidae. The record is from RefSeq and is a predicted model, not a curated record.